UACGUAGGGUCCAAGCGUUGUCCGGAUUUAUUGGGCGUAAAGAGCGUGUAGGCGGCUAGGUAGGUCCGUUGUGAAAACUCGAGGCUCAACCUCGAGACGCCGAUGGAAACCAUCUGGCUAGAGUCCGGAAGAGGAGAGUGGAAUUCCUGGUGUAGCGGUGAAAUGCGCAGAUAUCAGGAAGAACACCCGUGGCUAAGGCGGCUCUCUAGUACGGUACUGACGCUGAGACGCGAAAGCGUGGGGAGCGAACAGG
This 253-nucleotide ribosomal RNA is filed under the name uncultured bacterium. Its description in RNAcentral is "partial 16S ribosomal RNA". It matches the Rfam family "Bacterial small subunit ribosomal RNA", at positions 524 to 776 of the family's 1533-position model. The record is from RNAcentral.